RNAcentral lists this ribosomal RNA (472 nucleotides) under uncultured bacterium. Its description in RNAcentral is "bacterial SSU rRNA". It matches the Rfam family "Bacterial small subunit ribosomal RNA", at positions 8 to 526 of the family's 1533-position model. The record is from RNAcentral.
AGAGUUUGAUCCUGGCUCAGAACGAACGCUGGCGGCAGGCUUAACACAUGCAAGUCGAACGCACUCUUCGGAGUGAGUGGCGCACGGGUGAGUAACGCGUGGGAACGUACCAUUUGGUAGGGAAUAGCUCCGGGAAACUGGAAUUAAUACCCUAUACGCCCUGAGGGGGAAAGAUUUAUCGCCAAAUGAUCGGCCCGCGUGAGAUUAGCUAGUUGGUGAGGUAAUGGCUCACCAAGGCGACGAUCUCUAGCUGGUCUGAGAGGAUGAUCAGCCACACUGGAACUGAGACACGGUCCAGACUCCUACGGGAGGCAGCAGUGAGGAAUAUUCGGCAAUGGGGGAAACCCUGACCGAGCCAUGCCGCGUGAAUGAUGAAGGCCUUAGGGUUGUAAAGUUCUUUCGCUGGUGAAGAUAAUGACGGUAACCAGUAAAGAAGCCCCGGCUAACUUCGUGCCAGCAGCCGCGGUAAUUC